AAAAAUUGUAUUUAAAUUAUCAAAAAACUUUCCGUUCUGAGUUCUCAAUGAACAGACAAGAAGCGGUCUUUGUUGCACCAAGCCAAACGCUUGGAAGAUUCCGCUGUGGACGAUGGAAUGAGACGGGAGGGGUCAUCCAUUGUCUUGCAAACCUGCCCAAGCUGAAUCCAGGACGAACCCAAACCUGAGGGAUCUUCUUCUUUUGUCUUCAAUGUGACCGACAACAAUGACUAUUUACAUACUCCCCAUUCCUGCUGAGACAUGUGUUGUUGCGUAAACAUUGAAAUCUCUAAAUAAAAGAGGAGACGGAAACCUUCUUCGUCAGAGCGUGGUGCAGGACUGUGCAGAGAGUACAGUGACCAUGUCUUUCCUCAAUUGAGUCCAAAUUUAAUUCUGUCUCUGUUUGAUUCCUUGCCUUUUGUCUUGUGUAACAGAUGUCCUGUAUUUGAACCUGACAUCUAAUUGGUCCUUCGAGCCGGAUUCCAACACGUCUGACGAUUCCAGCAUGAGUGAGUGAAACCAGAGGACCAUGGCAACCAAAUCCUGAUUGAGGAACUGCUUUUUCUUCAUUUCGGGCUGGAAUUGAAAGACUGACGGAAAAUCCGAGGACAACAGGAAGGAAGGCAGAGAGCACGAUUAGCCCAGCAGAUGAUAAAGCUGUUCAGAUGCACCUCCUGGCGGACGAUAAGGAAGAUGAAUCUGAUGAUGGGGAUACCUACCUGGAUGGUGUUCCUGAUCUGUUUCCAGACCCGAGUAACGAUGAGAAAAAAAAUUGAUGUUGAACUCUGAGUGUGAACAUAACUUGGCCCUAGGGAAAUGAACCAUUAACUGAAAAUCGCAAGAAGAAGUUAUUGGGGAUAAGAAGAUUCUGGGGAAGUUGUUUGAUAAACAGGAGGGAAAUGUCAGAAAAAUUGUAUUUAAAUUAUCAAAAAACUUUCCGUUCUGAGUUCUCAAUGAACAGACAAGAAGCGGUCUUUGUUGCACCAAGCCAAACGCUUGGAAGAUUCCGCUGUGGACGAUGGAAUGAGACGGGAGGGGUCAUCCAUUGUCUUGCAAACCUGCCCAAGCUGAAUCCAGGACGAACCCAAACCUGAGGGAUCUUCUUCUUUUGUCUUCAAUGUAACCGACAACAAUGACUAUUUACAUACUCCCCAUUCCUGCUGAGACAUGUGUUGUUGCGUAAACAUUGAAAUCUCUAAAUAAAAGAGGAGACGGAAACCUUCUUCGUCAGAGCGUGGUGCAGGACUGUGCAGAGAGUACAGUGACCAUGUCUUUCCUCAAUUGAGUCCAAA
Nerophis lumbriciformis (worm pipefish) is the source of this 1292-nucleotide long non-coding RNA. RefSeq lists it as uncharacterized. Lineage: Eukaryota; Metazoa; Chordata; Actinopteri; Syngnathiformes; Syngnathidae. The record is from RefSeq and is a predicted model, not a curated record.